GUCUCUUCAAAGACAUCUGAUAAAAUUGGAACGAUAUAGAGAAGAUUAGAAUGGCCCCUGCACAAGGAUGAC
Beta vulgaris subsp. vulgaris (sugar beet) is the source of this 72-nucleotide small nuclear RNA. Lineage: Eukaryota; Viridiplantae; Streptophyta; Magnoliopsida; Caryophyllales; Amaranthaceae. The record is from Rfam.